This 249-nucleotide ribosomal RNA is filed under the name uncultured bacterium. RNAcentral describes it as "partial 16S ribosomal RNA". It matches the Rfam family "Bacterial small subunit ribosomal RNA", at positions 524 to 771 of the family's 1533-position model. The record is from RNAcentral.
UACGAAGGGGGGCUAGCGUUGCUCGGAAUCACUGGGCGUAAAGCGCACGUAGGCGGCUUUCUAAGUCAGGGGUGAAAUCCUGGAGCUCAACUCCAGAACUGCCUUUGAUACUGGAGAGCUUGAGUCCGGGAGAGGUGAGUGGAACUCCGAGUGUAGAGGUGAAAUUCGUAGAUAUCUGGAGGAACACCGGUGGCGAAGGCGGCAUCCUGGACCGGUAUUGACGCUGAGGCGCGAAAGCCAGGGGAGCAA